This 339-nucleotide unclassified non-coding RNA is filed under the name Hevea brasiliensis (rubber tree). The record is from RNAcentral. Lineage: Eukaryota; Viridiplantae; Streptophyta; Magnoliopsida; Malpighiales; Euphorbiaceae.
CUUCCAGGACGCUCAAACCCUAGCGGAUCUCGUCAGAUCUAGGGUUUCCUCUCCCCCACAAUUUCCCCCUUUCGCUGCCCUUUGAUUGCCCAAAUCGAGCGCGGGAACGGCAAUCGAUCGCCCCGCCAUGCCUGCCUCCAGAUCCAGCGGGCCGCGCUACGCCCCGGAGGAUCCCACCCUCCCCAAGCCCUGGAAGGAGCUCAUCGACGGCAACACCGGCUAUCACUACUUCUGGAACCCUGAGACAAACGUCACCCAGUACGAGCGCCCCGUUGACACCCUCCCGCCACCGCCGCCGCCCGGCCCGCCGCCGUCUGCCGUCCACUCGCGGAAGCGCGG